AUUGAACGCUGGCGGCAGGCCUAACACAUGCAAGUCGAGCGGAAGAAGGGAGCUUUCGCCUGGUUUCAGCGGCGGACGGGGGAGUGAUGCCUAGGAAUCUCCCUGGUAGUGGGGGGUAACGUCCGGAGACGGCCGGUGAUACCGCAGACGACCUGCGGGAGCAAGUGGGGGGUGUUCGGACCGUACGCGAUCAGGUGGGUCUAGGUCGGAUUAGCUAGUUGGUGGGGUGGGGGGCUACCAAGGCGACGAUCCGUAACUGGUCUGAGAGGCUGAUCAGUCACACGAGAACUGAGACACGGUCCAGAGUCCUACGGGAGGGAGCAGUGUGGAAUAUUGGACAAUGGGCGAAAGUCUGACCCAGCCAUGCCGCGUGUGUGAAGAAGGUCUUCGGAGUGUAAAGCACUUUAAGUUGUGAGGAAGCGCAUUAAGUUAAUACCUUGCUGUUUUGACGUUACCAGCAGAAUAAGCACCGGCUAACUUCGUG
Molecule: ribosomal RNA, 484 nt
Filed under: uncultured bacterium
Lineage: Bacteria
Description: partial 16S ribosomal RNA
Rfam family: Bacterial small subunit ribosomal RNA
Source: RNAcentral